UACGAAGGGACCUAGCGUAGUUCGGAAUUACUGGGCUUAAAGAGUUCGUAGGUGGUUGAAAAAGUUGGUGGUGAAAUCCCAGAGCUUAACUCUGGAACUGCCAUCAAAACUUUUCAGCUAGAGUAUGAUAGAGGAAAACAGAAUUUCUAGUGUAGAGGUGAAAUUCGUAGAUAUUAGAAAGAAUACCAAUUGCGAAGGCAGCUUUCUGGAUCAUUACUGACACUGAGGAACGAAAGCAUGGGUAGCGAAGAGGAUUAGAUACCCUCGUAGUCCAUGCCGUAAACGAUGUGUGUUAGACGUUGGAAAUUUAUUUUCAGUGUCGCAGCGAAAGCGAUAAACACACCGCCUGGGGAGUACGACCGCAAGGUUAAAACUCAAAUGAAUUGACGGGGACCCGCACAAGUAGUGGAGCAUGUGGUUUAAUUCGAAGAUACGCGCAGAACCUUACCAACACUUGACAUGUUCGUCGCGACUCUAAGAGAUUAGAGUUUUCGGUUCGGCCGGACGAAACACAGGUGCUGCAUGGCUGUCGUCAGCUCGUGUCGUGAGAUGUUGGGUUAAGUCCCGCAACGAGCGCAACCCUCACUUUUAGUUGCCAUCAUUAAGUUGGGCACUCUGAAAGAACUGCCAGUGAUAAGCUGGAGGAAGGUGGGGAUGACGUCAAGUCCUCCUGGCCCUUACGUGUUGGGCUACACACGUGCUACAAUGGUAUCUACAACAGGAAGCAAGACGGCGACGUUAAGCAAAUCCUUAAAAGAUACCUCAGUUCGGAUUGCACUCUGCAACUCGAGUGCAUGAAGCUGGAAUUACUAGUAAUCGUGGAUCAGCGUGCCACGGUGAAUGCGUUCCCGGGUCU
RNAcentral lists this ribosomal RNA (856 nucleotides) under uncultured bacterium. Its description in RNAcentral is "SSU rRNA". It matches the Rfam family "Bacterial small subunit ribosomal RNA", at positions 524 to 1381 of the family's 1533-position model. The record is from RNAcentral.